GGAAAAGGGACAGGGAAGGGGCAGACGGGACGGGGAAGGUGGGAAUGGGAUGAAGAGUGGGAUGAAGGUAGGGAUGUCAGGGUGGAGGGAGUGGAAAAGGGAUGGAGAAGGGGCAGAGGGCACGGAGGUGAUGGGGAAGGGGAAGAGGGGAUGGAAAUGGGGUGGAAAAGUGAUUGGGACAAUGCGAAGGGGGUGGAGAAGGGGAAGAGGGCAUGGAGAGGGUGAUGGAAAUGGGGUGGUAGGGAUGGAGGGGCUGCAAAGGGGACGAGGAAGGAGGGAAGGGAACAGGGAAGGUGCAAAGGGGGUGGGAAAGGCACGAAGGGGACGAAGAAGGUGUAAAGGGGACAAAGAAGGCACAAAGGGGGUGGGGAAGGGGUGCGGGGGUCACAGCCCCACAUCUCGGAGCCCAGCCCCACUCUUCCUGCAGCCCAUCCCGGCAACGCGGCACCGGGUCGCCCUGCAAAGCGACGUCGGAAAGCAGCAGCAGCAGCAGCAGCGCAGCCCCGGAGCAGAGCUUUGGGGCACCAGCGGGCUUUGGGGCCGCUGGAGGAGCUGCUGGGGUUGCGGGGCGGCCGCCUGCGCCCCACCAUCUGCGGGGAGUGCGGGAAGGGCUUCAGCCGCAGCUCGGACCUGGUGCGGCACCGCAUCACCCACACCGGGGAGAAACCCUACACCUGCGGGGCCUGCGGGAAGGGCUUCAGCCAGAACUCCAACCUGGUCACCCACCAGCGCAUCCACACCGGGGAGAAACCCUACAGCUGCGGGGCCUGCGGGAAGCGCUUCAGCGAGAGCUCGGCGCUCAUCCAGCACCAGCGGACCCACACCGGGGAAAAACCCUAUUGCUGCGGGGAGUGCGGGAAGCGCUUCAGCGUCAGCUCCAACCUCAUCCGGCACCGGCGCACCCACACCGACGAGAAGCCCUAUAUCUGCGUGGAGUGCGGGGAGGGCUUUCGCCACAAAUCCCAGCUGCGCCGGCACCAGAAGCUGCACUCGGCGUAGUGGGGACGCGGCUUUGGGGAUGGGGACGCGGCUUUAGGAUGGGGACGCGGCUUUAGGAUGGGGACGCAGCUUUGGGGAUGGGGACGCGGCUUUAGGAUGGGGAUGCGGCUUUAGGAUGGGGACGUGGCUUGUGGGAUGAGGAGCAGCACUGGUCACGGUCCCCUCAUCCGCGUUCCCACAGUGGGGACUGUGGGGUGGGUGUGCGGUGCUGGACCCGGCCCCCCACCCAGAAACCCCAAAAGCAGGACGGGGUGUUGGAAGAGGGAACGUAAUGGGGCGGUUGGGACUGCAGCCCAAACCAAUAAAAGGUGCUGGAGCUGCACUGCCUGGCCGGGGUCGUGCUGUAGGG
This 1348-nucleotide long non-coding RNA is filed under the name Chrysolophus pictus (golden pheasant). Its description in RNAcentral is "lncRNA (ENSCPIG00010009735.1)". Lineage: Eukaryota; Metazoa; Chordata; Aves; Galliformes; Phasianidae. The record is from RNAcentral.